GCCUCUGCUAAUGUGUACCUAGUUUAUACUAAGUGACCCAUAGGUUGAGGAGGUGGUGACCGUGGCGGUGAAGGAGGAGGAUGAGGUACCCAACACUGUUUUUUUUAUAUAUAUUUAUAUUAAUUGGGGUAGCACCCAAAAUAUUGGGAUAUAUAAAAAAAGACAACUCUGUUCCGUGGAACUUUGCAUGCGGAUGUCAUCCAUAUCAACUUUCGAUGCCAGUUUCUGCGCCUACCAUGGUGACCACGAGUAACGGGGAAUCAGGGUUCCACUCCGUACAGGGACCCUGAGAAAUGGCUACCACAUGCAAGGAAG
Molecule: ribosomal RNA, 315 nt
Filed under: Pelobates cultripes (western spadefoot toad)
Lineage: Eukaryota; Metazoa; Chordata; Amphibia; Anura; Pelobatidae
Description: SSU_rRNA_eukarya
Rfam family: Eukaryotic small subunit ribosomal RNA
Source: RNAcentral